This 460-nucleotide ribosomal RNA is filed under the name uncultured bacterium. Its description in RNAcentral is "partial 16S ribosomal RNA". It matches the Rfam family "Bacterial small subunit ribosomal RNA", at positions 338 to 795 of the family's 1533-position model. The record is from RNAcentral.
CCUACGGGAGGCUGCAGUGAGGAAUAUUGGUCAAUGGACGAGAGUCUGAACCAGCCAAGUAGCGUGAAGGAUGACUGCCCUAUGGGUUGUAAACUUCUUUUAUAUGGGAAUAAAACGUUCCACGUGUGGGAUUUUGUAUGUACCAUAUGAAUAAGGAUCGGCUAACUCCGUGCCAGCAGCCGCGGUAAUACGGAGGAUCCGAUCGUUAUCCGGAUUUAUUGGGUUUAAAGGGAGCGUAGGUGGAUUGUUAAGUCAGUUGUGAAAGUUUGCGGCUCAACCGUAAAAUUGCAGUUGAAACUGGCAGUCUUGAGUACAGUAGAGGUGGGCGGAAUUCGUGGUGUAGCGGUGAAAUGCUUAGAUAUCACGAAGAACUCCGAUUGCGAAGGCAGUUCACUGGACUGCAACUGACACUGAGGCUCGAAAGUGUGGGUAUCAAACAGGAUUAGAUACCCCUGUAGUC